CUACGGAGGGUGCAAGCGUUACUCAGAAUCACUGGGCGUAAAGCGCGCGCAGGCGGCUUGAUAAGUUGGAUGUGAAAGCCUACGGCUCAACCGUAGAACUGCAUCCAAAACUGUCAGUCUAGAGUGUGGGAGAGGAAGAUGGAAUUAGUUGUGUAGGGGUAAAAUACGUAGAGAUAACUAGGAAUACCAAAAGCGAAGGCAAUCUUCUGGAACACUACUGACGCUGAGGCGCGAAGGCGUGGGGAGCAAACAGGAUUAGAAACCCCAGUAGUCC
RNAcentral lists this ribosomal RNA (274 nucleotides) under uncultured bacterium. RNAcentral describes it as "partial 16S ribosomal RNA". It matches the Rfam family "Bacterial small subunit ribosomal RNA", at positions 523 to 796 of the family's 1533-position model. The record is from RNAcentral.